GUUGCAAGGUGGUGAAAACACACUUGGCACCUUUCUGCGUGAGAUCUGUCCUAGAGACAGUUUAUCACAUGGUAAACGAGCGUUGGCUCUGGGACUCAGUGACACUGCCUACGUGGCUGUGGUAAAAAGACUACAACACAGACAAGACCUUGGAACUGGACCUGCUAACUGGGGCCUCCAGAAGGGGAAGAAAGCCUUAACACAACACCUGGAAUCCAUCUGUGGGCAUCUGGGCUCAGACUUGCAGAGGUAACGUCAGCAAGGAGCCUGGCUGAACGAGCAAAUUGGGAAUUUAAUGCUGCUGCUUGCUGAUCAUUCUCUCUGCUUUAGGACACCCUCCUUCUCCUCAUAAUUAACGAGGAUCUGUCGUGUCCUGGCCUCUCAGGGAUAUGGACAUGUCCUCUGCCAGGUGACAGCUGGGGAAUCUCCUAACGUCUUACAUUCUAUUAGGGGCACUUGAAGACAGUAUCUCAACUCAAAAGAGUGCCUCCCACCAUAGGAUUCCAGGCACUGGCUCAGAGGGACUCAACUCUGGCUGCAGUGAAGAAGUUACGAGGCUAUACAAGCUUUAAGAAUGCAGGAGUCUUGCCCAUCUCGUUCACCGCAGUAUCUCCAGCUCCUGGCACGGAGGCUGGCCCAUAGUAGGUGCUCAUUAAAAAUGUGCUGACUGAAGGGUGGUCUGAUGUCACAGACUGCAGAAAGUUCCCCCAAAGGAAGAACUUAAUUUAUCUAAGGCAUUUCACAAAUCGUGGUAAUUGGGGAAUUAGAAAUGGCAUUUUAUUAAUUUUGGUGACUAGCUCAAUAACUGAACUAAUUUAUUCUAGAUGACUGAGCUAACUUAUCCCAGGUAGAAUUAUUCAUUAUUCCUCUCGCCGUCACCUACCCUUUGCUAACUGUUUAGAAGCCACGCAUCACUAGCAGUCCGAGAGGAGGCAAGCUGGAAGCUAAGCAAAAGAGAUUUACUAAAUACAAUGAAAGUUGCAUAUGCUUUAGGCAUCUAAAAAGGUGUGUCUAAUUUCUCCUAAUUUAAAAAGGGGUUAUAUUUUAUUGUUGCAAUUUAUUUGAGACAAACACACUAGGAUCUG
Molecule: long non-coding RNA, 1085 nt
Filed under: Equus caballus (horse)
Lineage: Eukaryota; Metazoa; Chordata; Mammalia; Perissodactyla; Equidae
Description: lncRNA (ENSECAG00000054289.1)
Source: RNAcentral